UAGAGUUUAUAGCUUGAAUAAUGUCGUUUUUUGAGUAAAUCCAAGUUCUAAGAGAGUCAUGCUAUAAUAUCAGGAAGUUAAAUAGUGUCUUAGUUCAGGCUGCUAUAACACAAUACCAGAGACCGGUAGGCUUACAACACAACAGAAGGAUAUUCUUCAUAGUUGUGGAGGCUGGACAUCUGAGAUCAGGGUUUCCUGCAUGCUCUGGUUCUGGUAAGGGUCUUCAGGUUGCAGACUGCCAACUUUUUGUUGUGAUCCCAUGUAGUGAAAAGAGAGCUCUCUCUGGCCUCUUUGUAGGAGGACACUAAUCCUUUCAUGAGAGUCUGCUCUCAUGACCUCAUUAUGAGGCGCUCUACCUCCAAAUACCUGGGGAUUCGAUUUCUACGUGUGAGGGAGGUGGGGAUUCAAACAUCCCAUCCAUAAUACACCAUGUGGAGUUCUAGGGUGUAUUUGAACAGCUAUCUCUCUAACUCAUAUCAGACUCUCAUCAUAUAAAAUUGUGUUGUCAUAAUGGGUUUCUUCUUUUGAAUGUCAGUCAUGACCCAGUCAGGAGUCUGGGCAUUUCAUAUGAGUUGUUGCUAAUUUUCAUGAUAAUCCUGAAAGGUGCAUAUAUCACCCUCCUUUUACAGAUAGGAAAACCCAAGGCUUAAGGAGACAAGGAACCCCUGAUGGGAAAAAAAUGUUUUAGCUUCCUUUAUCAUUGCUAAAUAAAAUGGAAAAGAGAGUUCUCCGUUUCCAGGCUUGGGAAGUGACUUGUCGACCCUGCCCUGAGAGCCUGCUCGAGAAGGUUGGCAAACGCUCCUCGUCCUGCUGUGAAUCCCUCAGGCUUGUGAGGGACGACAGAUGGUUGAGCUAAACUCGGAGCCACCCCUCUACAUAAUGAAGAAAAAUGACCAGCCUCCUGGUAAGUGGAAAUCAGAACCCAUGCACCUUGAAUUCUGGUAAACAGGACAUUGAAACAAACACGAAGUGAAGAAGGGAGAGGAAAACCUUUCACAGGUUACCCGUCUGUUUUUGUUGGUACUUGCACGUAUUAGUAGG
Molecule: long non-coding RNA, 1041 nt
Filed under: Ailuropoda melanoleuca (giant panda)
Lineage: Eukaryota; Metazoa; Chordata; Mammalia; Carnivora; Ursidae
Description: lncRNA (ENSAMEG00000027464.1)
Source: RNAcentral